GGGGAUAAAUUAAUAAUGGGGGUUAUUAAUAAAAAAAAUUUUAUUUGAGUGGUAUUUUAUUUGUAGUAGAUUAAAUUGAAUAAAUUAAAAAAUUUAUAGUUAAUUAGUAUUGUGAAAGAAUUUUGAAAAUAUUUGAAAAUGAAUUUAUUAAAAAGUAAUUUUAAUUUAGUGUAUCUUGUGUAUCAGAGUUUAUUAAUAAAAAAAUAGGGGGGGUUAUUUUUUUCGAAUUUAAAAGAGAUAAUUAAUUAUAAAAGUUAUUGUAGAAUAAAUAUUUUAAAUAAUUAAUUUGAAAUGAAAUGUUAUUCGUUUUUAAAUAUAUCUAAUUUUUUUAGAAAAAAAUUUAAUUUUAAAUUAAUUUAAUAAUAAAAUUAAUUUUUUAAUUUAUUAUUAAAUUAAUUUUAUAUUUUAAGGGAUAAGCUUUAAAUUAGAUUUUUAUAAUUUAAAUUUGAUUCAAAAUUUAAAAUUUUUAUUAUUUAUAUUGUAAGUAAAUUUUAUUUUAUUAUAAAUAAUUUUAUUUUAUUUUAAAAUUUAAAAAUUAAAUUUAAUUUUUUAUAAAAGAAUAUUUUUUAAUAAAAAAAAAUUUAGAUAUAAUGAUGAAAUUAGUAUAUAAAUGUUUAUUUAAUUUAAUAAUUAAUAAAUUUAUGAUUAGUAGAUUUAAGGAAUUCGGCAAAUUUUUAUAUCCACUUGUUUAUCAAAAACAUGUCUUUUUGAUAAAUAAUUUAAAGUCUAAUCUGCCCACUGAUAUAAAUUAAAGGGCUGCAGUAUUUUGACUGUACAAAGGUAGCAUAAUCAUUAGUCUCUUAAUUGGUGACUUGUAUGAAAGAUUGGAUGAGAUAUGGACUGUCUUGAUUUUAUUUUAUAGAAUUUAAUUUUUUAAUUAAAAAGUUAAAAUAUAUUAAAAAGACGAGAAGACCCUAUAGAGUUUAAUAAAUUAGAUUAAUUAAAAAUAUUUAUAAAUAAAAUUAUUUGAAAUUUUUAUAUUUAUUUGGUUGGGGUGAUUAAAAAAUUUAAUUAACUUUUUUUAUGUAUUUAACAUUGAUAGAUGAAUUAUAGAUCCAUUGUUUAAUGAUUAAAAGAAAAAAUUACCUUAGGGAUAACAGCGUAAUUUUUUUUUUUAGUUCAUAUAAAAAGGAAAGUUUGCGACCUCGAUGUUGGAUUAAGAUAAAAUUUAAAUGUAAAAGUUUAAGUAUUUUGAUCUGUUCGAUCAUUAAAAUCUUACAUGAUCUGAGUUCAAACCGGUGUGAGCCAGGUUGGUUUCUAUCUUUUAAAUAUAUUAAUAUUUUAGUACGAAAGGAUCAAAUAUUAGAAUUAGAUUUAUAUUAUUAUUAUGAAUUUUAUUAAUUUUUUUUUUAAUACAUAUAUUUAUAUAUGUAUAUAUUAAAGUAUUUAUAAAUAAAAUUAAGUUAGAGAUAAAUGAAAAGUUAAGGGAUUUAUUUUUAUUUUAGCUUUUUAACUUAUUUAUUUGUUAUUUUAUAAUUAAUUAAUAUUUUAUAAUUAAUGAGUUAAGUGGUGUU
This 1514-nucleotide ribosomal RNA is filed under the name Kunugia undans. RNAcentral's name for it is "16S ribosomal RNA". The record is from RNAcentral. Lineage: Eukaryota; Metazoa; Arthropoda; Insecta; Lepidoptera; Lasiocampidae.